RNAcentral lists this ribosomal RNA (465 nucleotides) under Vreelandella stevensii. Its description in RNAcentral is "partial 16S ribosomal RNA". It matches the Rfam family "Bacterial small subunit ribosomal RNA", at positions 338 to 795 of the family's 1533-position model. The record is from RNAcentral. Lineage: Bacteria; Pseudomonadati; Pseudomonadota; Gammaproteobacteria; Oceanospirillales; Halomonadaceae.
CCUACGGGCGGCUGCAGUGGGGAAUAUUGGACAAUGGGGGCAACCCUGAUCCAGCCAUGCCGCGUGUGUGAAGAAGGCCCUCGGGUUGUAAAGCACUUUCAGUGAGGAAGAACGCCUGGUGGUUAAUACCCAUCAGGAAAGACAUCACUCACAGAAGAAGCACCGGCUAACUCCGUGCCAGCAGCCGCGGUAAUACGGAGGGUGCGAGCGUUAAUCGGAAUUACUGGGCGUAAAGCGCGCGUAGGUGGCUUGAUAAGCCGGUUGUGAAAGCCCCGGGCUCAACCUGGGAACGGCAUCCGGAACUGUCAAGCUAGAGUGCAGGAGAGGAAGGUAGAAUUCCCGGUGUAGCGGUGAAAUGCGUAGAGAUCGGGAGGAAUACCAGUGGCGAAGGCGGCCUUCUGGACUGACACUGACACUGAGGUGCGAAAGCGUGGGUAGCGAACAGGAUUAGAUACCCCUGUAGUC